This 49-nucleotide small RNA is filed under the name Hemiselmis rufescens. Its description in RNAcentral is "partial Cyanobacteria transfer-messenger RNA". Lineage: Eukaryota; Cryptophyceae; Cryptomonadales; Hemiselmidaceae. The record is from RNAcentral.
AGAACCUUUACGACGUGUUUGUCAACAUCCGGGACGACGAGCUGGAGCA